Molecule: non-coding RNA, 1324 nt
Organism: Poecilia reticulata (guppy)
Lineage: Eukaryota; Metazoa; Chordata; Actinopteri; Cyprinodontiformes; Poeciliidae
Source: RefSeq, a predicted model, not a curated record
GUACCAUUUUUUAUGCGUCAAGAAAAUAAAAAAAUAAAUUGAAAAAAAUCUUGACACAAAUGAUCAUAAUUCAUGCAUUAAAGGGUUAAAGUAAGCAGUUUAGCUAUUUUUUUGUCUCAGGUUUGUAGACUGCCUUGAGAAGCAGUCCACUAAAAUAAGCAUUUCAGCUAUUUUUGUCCCCCUCUCAGGUUAGUGGGCUCCCUUGCUCAGUCUUUUUUAAAAAUAAGCAUUUUAACUAUUGUUGUUGCCUUUUUAACAUUUGUUGUUUUGCAAAGCUGACUGGUCAACAGAAGAGUAUGUCAUACUCGCUGGAAAAUGUCAAUCUCUGAUUGGCUGACACCUAGCAUCUUGUUUCUACACCUGUGACAUUAGGUGCUAUAAAUCUGUCAGCCAGCUGUGUUGACAGUCUCAAAAAAGCUAUUUUGUUGCAUUUUUUUAAAUUGUUGUUUUGCUGAGCUGACUGGUCAGCUGUAGGACACCUCAUACACGCUGGAAAAUGCCAAUCUCUGAUUGGCUGACAUGAAUUCCCAAGCUGCUGAAGCUUCUGGAACUUUCUGGCACUCUCUGCUUCCGAGUCUGCUACGGUCAAGUACCACCUGACCAUACAGGCGGUGUCUUCGGUGGAAAACUCCCUGGAGACGCUGCUGGAUUUACUGCAGAAAUACCGGGAGAAAGCUGGGGACAAAGUGGCCGAAAAGGGCGGCAGCAUCUUCACCAAAGCCUGCUUCCUUCUCGCUCUGCUGCUGCAGGACGAGCGCCACGCUCAGGAGGUGGUGAAGCUGCCUAAAGUUUUGGACCGAAUAGGCAGCAUCUACAGGCUCACGGCGCGGAAACACAGGAUGGACAAAGAGCGCAGCAUCACCAGGCAGAGAAUCAAUGGGAGCUUCUACGUCCCGCCGACGCUGCGCAAAUCCAAACCGCCACCAAAGUAGGCAGCAUCUGAUCUGUAAAAACCCAAACAGGACUUCUGGUUCUGUGGGAACUAAAAUGCUGUUUUCUAUGGAGCUAAAUUAGUGUCGGAAAGAUUCACAGUAAGAUCUGUGUCAAGUUAAAACAGCAAAUUUGUGAGUGCAUUACCAUCUCCACUCAACUGGCACGCACCUCACAGGAAAUCAAGCGCACCAAUCUCUCUCACUCAGGCCUUCAGGAGCCUAUAAAGCAACUCGGCACACCUGUGUUCUGAAUGAUCCCUUCAGACAAAGAACUCAGCUUCAAGCUCCUACAGAGACACCACUGGUAGAAAAUGAACAUUAAAUCAUUUAACCUGCAUUCAGAGGACCUAGUUGAUGGAAUGGGUUUAUGUUUGGAAUGUAGUUUGUUUUGU